RNAcentral lists this ribosomal RNA (450 nucleotides) under uncultured bacterium. RNAcentral's name for it is "bacterial SSU rRNA". It matches the Rfam family "Bacterial small subunit ribosomal RNA", at positions 83 to 516 of the family's 1533-position model. The record is from RNAcentral.
GGCUGGCGACCUAUUACGCACGGGUGAGUAACACGUAUGCAACCUACCCAUAACAGGGGGAUAACCCGGAGAAAUUCGGACUAAUACCCCAUAACACAGGGAUGCCGCAUGGCAAUAUUUGUUAAAGAAGCGAUUUGGUUAUGGAUGGGCAUGCGCAGGAUUAGGUACGAUUGGCGGGGUCACAGCACCACCAAGCCGACGAAUCCUUAGGGGAACUGAGAGGUUGGUCCCCCACACUGGUACUGAGACAGGGACCAGACUCCAUACGGGAGGCAGCAGCUGAGGAAUAUUGGUCAAUGGUCGAGAGACUGAACCAGCCAUGUCAGCGUGCAGGACUAAUGCCCUAUGGGUUUAAACACUGCUUUAUAUACGAGGGUAAAAGAGGCUAUGUAUAGACCUAUUGCCAAGAUAUCGUAUGAAUAAGGAUCGGCUAACUCCGUGCACACGACA